AUCAGUAGCCGACCUGAGAGGGUGAUCGGCCACAUUGGAACUGAGACACGGUCCAAACUCCUACGGGAGGCAGCAGUGGGGAAUAUUGCACAAUGGGCGCAAGCCUGAUGCAGCAACGCCGCGUGAACGAUGAAGGUCUUCGGAUCGUAAAGUUCUGUUGCAGGGGAAGAUAAUGACGGUACCCUGUGAGGAAGCCCCGGCUAACUACGUGCCAGCAGCCGCGGUAAUACGUAGGGGGCUAGCGUUAUCCGGAUUUACUGGGCGUAAAGGGUGCGUAGGUGGUCUUUCAAGUCGGUGGUUAAAGGCUACGGCUCAACCGUAGUUAGCCUCCGAAACUGGAAGACUUGAGUGCAGGAGAGGAAAGUGGAAUUCCCAGUGUAGCGGUGAAAUGCGUAGAUAUUGGGAGGAACACCAGUAGCGAAGGCGGCUUUCUGGACUGCAACUGACACUGAGGCACGAAAGCGUGGGUAGCAAACAGGAUUAGAUACCCUGGUAGUCCACGCUGUAAACGAUGAGUACUAGGUGUCGGGGGUUACCCCCCUCGGUGCCGCAGCUAACGCAUUAAGUACUCCGCCUGGGGAGUACGCACGCAAGUGUGAAACUCAAAGGAAUUGACGGGGAGGAGUACGCACGCAAGUGUGAAACUCAAAGGAAUUGACGGGGACCCGCACAAGUAGCGGAGCAUGUGGUUUAAUUCGAAGCAACGCGAAGAACCUUACCUAAGCUUGACAUCCCUUAGACCGGUGUUUAAUCACACCUUCCCUUCGGGGCUGAGGUGACAGGUGGUGCAUGGUUGUCGUCAGCUCGUGUCGUGAGAUGUUGGGUUAAGUCCCGCAACGAGCGCAACCCUUGUCUUUAGUUGCCAGCAUUCAGUUGGGCACUCUAGAGAGACUGCCAGGGAUAACCUGGAGGAAGGUGGGGAUGACGUCAAAUCAUCAUGCCCCUUAUGCUUAGGGCUACACACGUGCUACAAUGGGUGGUACAGAGGGUUGCCAAACCGUGAGGUGGAGCUAAUCCCUUAAAGCCAUUCUCAGUUCGGAUUGUAGGCUGAAACUCGCCUACAUGAAGCUGGAGUUACUAGUAAUCGCAGAUCAGAAUGCUGCGGUGAAUGCGUUCCCGGGUCUUGUACACACCGCCCGUCACACCAUGGGAGUCGGAAACACCCGAAGCCGAUUAUCCAACCGCAAGGAGGAAGUCGUCGAAGGUGGCGUCGAUAACUGGGGUGAAGUCGUAACAAGGUAGCCGUAUCGGAAGGUGCGGCUG
RNAcentral lists this ribosomal RNA (1263 nucleotides) under human gut metagenome. RNAcentral describes it as "bacterial SSU rRNA". It matches the Rfam family "Bacterial small subunit ribosomal RNA", at positions 279 to 1520 of the family's 1533-position model. The record is from RNAcentral.